Molecule: ribosomal RNA, 503 nt
Filed under: uncultured bacterium
Lineage: Bacteria
Description: bacterial SSU rRNA
Rfam family: Bacterial small subunit ribosomal RNA
Source: RNAcentral
GCUUAACACAUGCAAGUCGAACGAGGUGAUUGAAAGCUUGCUUUGAGAACCGAGUGGCAAACGGGUGAGUAACGCGUAGACAACCUGCCGCAAAGAUGGGGACAACAGUUCGAAAGGACUGCUAAUACCGAAUGUGUCAGACUCCCGCAUGGGAGACUGAUUAAAGAUGGCCUCUACUUGUAAGCUAUCGCUUUGCGAUGGGUCUGCGUCUGAUUAGCUGGUUGGUGGGGUAACGGCCUACCAAGGCGACGAUCAGUAGCCGGUCUGAGAGGAUGAACGGCCACAUUGGAACUGAGACACGGUCCAGACUCCUACGGGAGGCAGCAGUGGGGAAUCUUCCGCAAUGGGCGAAAGCCUGACGGAGCAACGCCGCGUGAGUGAAGAAGGGGUUUUUCCGGCUCGUAAAGCUCUGUUGACGGGGACGAAUGUGCGAGAUGCGAAUAGUUUCUUGCAAUGACGGUACCCAUCGAGGAAGCCACGGCUAACUACGUGCCAGCAGCGGC